UUCGGGAGCUAAAGGUGGCACUUUAGCAAGAAUAGGAUGAACUUUGUUUCAUGUGGCCGAUUAGGUUGUGAUGCCCGCACAAACUAU
The submitters of this non-coding RNA (87 nucleotides) gave its source as unclassified sequences. The record is from Rfam.